RNAcentral lists this ribosomal RNA (454 nucleotides) under Staphylococcus sp. KB1.2T. RNAcentral describes it as "bacterial SSU rRNA". It matches the Rfam family "Bacterial small subunit ribosomal RNA", at positions 1001 to 1454 of the family's 1533-position model. Lineage: Bacteria; Bacillati; Bacillota; Bacilli; Caryophanales; Staphylococcaceae. The record is from RNAcentral.
UAGAGAAAGGAAGUUUCCCCUUCGGGGACAAAGUGACAGGUGGAGCAUGGUUGACGUCAGCUCGUGUCGUGAGAUGAUGGGUUAAGUCCCGCAACGAGCGCAACCCUUAAGCUUAGUUGCCAUCAUUAAGUUGGGCACUCUAAGUUGACUGCCGGUGACAAACCGGAGGAAGGUGGGGAUGACGUCAAAUCAUCAUGCCCCUUAUGAUUUGGGCUACACACGUGCUACAAUGGACAAUACAAAGGGCAGCGAAACCGCGAGGUCAAGCAAAUCCCAUAAAGUUGUUCUCAGUUCGGAUUGUAGUCUGCAACUCGACUACAUGAAGCUGGAAUCGCUAGUAAUCGUAGAUCAGCAUGCUACGGUGAAUACGUUCCCGGGUCUUGUACACACCGCCCGUCACACCACGAGAGUUUGUAACACCCGAAGCCGGUGGAGUAACCAUUUGGAGCUAGCC